GAUGAACGCUGGCGGCGUGCCUAAUACAUGCAAGUCGAGCGAACGGACGAGAAGCUUGCUUCUCUGAUGUUAGCGGCGGACGGGUGUGUAACACGUGGAUAACCUACCUAUAAGAGUGGGAUCACUUCGGGAAACCGGAGCUAAUACCGGAUAAUAUUUUGAACCGCAUGGUGCAAUAGUGAAAGACGGUCUUGCUGUCACUUAUAGAUGGAUCCGCGCUGCAUUAGCUAGUUGGUAAGGUAACGGCUUACCAAGGCAACGAUGCAUAGCCGACGUGAGAGAGUGAUCGGCCACACGGGAGCUGAGACACGGUCCAGACUCCUACGGGAGGCCGCAGUAGGGAAUCUUACGCAAUGGGCGAAAGCCUGACGGAGCAACGCCGCGUGAGUGAUGAAGGUCUUCGGAGCGUAAAACUCUGUUAUGAGGGAAGAACAUAUGUGUAAGUAACUGUGCACAGCUUGACGGUACCUAAUCAGAAAGCCACGGCUAACUACGUG
RNAcentral lists this ribosomal RNA (497 nucleotides) under uncultured bacterium. RNAcentral describes it as "partial 16S ribosomal RNA". It matches the Rfam family "Bacterial small subunit ribosomal RNA", at positions 28 to 507 of the family's 1533-position model. The record is from RNAcentral.